AUUGAACGCUGGCGGCACGCCUUACACAUGCAAGUCGAACGGUAACGGGCCUUCGGGUGCCGACGAGUGGCGAACGGGUGAGUAAUACAUCGGAACGUGCCCGAUCGUGGGGGAUAACGAGGCGAAAGCUUUGCUAAUACCGCAUACGAUCUACGGAUGAAAGCAGGGGACCGCAAGGCCUUGCGCGGACGGAGCGGCCGAUGGCAGAUUAGGUAGUUGGUGGGAUAAAAGCUUACCAAGCCGACGAUCUGUAGCUGGUCUGAGAGGAUGAGCAGCCACACUGAGACUGAGACACGGCCCAGACUCCUACGGGAGGCAGCAGUGGGGAAUUUUGGAGAAUGGGCGCAAGCCUGAUCCAGCCAUGCCGCGUGAAGGAUAAAGGCCUUCGGGUUGUAAACUGCUUUUGUACGGAACGAAAAGCCUUCUUUUAAUACAGGAGGGUCAUGACGGUACCGUAAGAAUAAGCACCGGCUAACUACGUG
RNAcentral lists this ribosomal RNA (482 nucleotides) under uncultured bacterium. RNAcentral describes it as "partial 16S ribosomal RNA". It matches the Rfam family "Bacterial small subunit ribosomal RNA", at positions 30 to 507 of the family's 1533-position model. The record is from RNAcentral.